This 460-nucleotide ribosomal RNA is filed under the name uncultured bacterium. RNAcentral describes it as "partial 16S ribosomal RNA". It matches the Rfam family "Bacterial small subunit ribosomal RNA", at positions 338 to 795 of the family's 1533-position model. The record is from RNAcentral.
CCUACGGGAGGCAGCAGUGAGGCAUAUUGGUCAAUGGCCGGAAGGCUGAACCAGCCAUGCCGCGUGAAGGUCAGUGCCCUAUGGGCGUUAAACUUCUUUUGUGCGGGAGCAAUAAUGGUCACGUGUGGCCAGACGAGAGUACCGUACGAAUAAGCAUCGGCUAACUCCGUGCCAGCAGCCGCGGUAAUACGGGGGAUGCAAGCGUUAUUCGGAUUUAUUGGGUUUAAAGGGUGCGUAGGGUGUGAGGUAAGUCAGCGGGGAAAUGCCCCCGCUCAACGGGGUGAAGUGCCAUUGAUACUGCCGUGCUGGAAUGCGGAAGCGGUGGGAGGAAUGUGUGGAGUAGCGGUGAAAUGCAUAGAUAUCACACAGAACACCGAUUGCGAAGGCAUCUCACGAAUCCGCGAUUGACGCUGAUGCACGAAAGCGUGGGUAUCAAACAGGAUUAGAGACCCGAGUAGUC